Long non-coding RNA from Spinacia oleracea (spinach), 739 nucleotides. RefSeq lists it as uncharacterized. The transcript is spliced from 3 exons. The record is from RefSeq and is a predicted model, not a curated record. Lineage: Eukaryota; Viridiplantae; Streptophyta; Magnoliopsida; Caryophyllales; Amaranthaceae.
AAACCCCAAAACCUCCUCCUUCACGUUCGUUUGCUCCUCCUUGCGCAGCCACCACCUCACCACCGUCGGACGCCGCCUCCGUCGCUGGUAACCUCCUUCUUCUUCGUCGUCCUUCUCCUUCCUCUCCUUCUCUGUUUCUUCUUCAUCCCCGUUUUUCUCCCCUCCUCAAGCUUCUGUUUUUCUUGCACAGCCGCCGCGGCCCAGCCGCGACCACCAAGCCAGCGCCGUCGGCCACCUUCGCGUCGCAAGCCGCCACCAGAACUCCUGCUGUUCUUCCUUCCCGUUCCCUCCUUCCUCCUCCACGCAAGCACAUCAUUGCUCUUGUUUCUGUUUGUUGCGGAAGCCACCACCACCGCACGCACCACCAGGCCUGACAACCUCCGCGAGCCGCCGCUGCCGCGCCGUCGUGUCUCUGACCGCCGACCGCCCACCCUCUCAUCCUCACUUUUGGCGGAGAAUUCUUUGUGGGUGACUUUUGAAUUCGUUAAAGUGGCCUAUCAGUUUGUUUACACAAGUCUCUAAGGAUCAAUAAGCAUUGUCCAUCUACAGGUUUGAAGAUGAUGCAUCAUUGGGAUCGGGAUUAGAGAGCUUGUAUUUAGUUUUGUUUUGCUAAGUGACUUGGUUGGUUAAUUUGGAUUUUAAACUUGUCGUAUUAUUUAUAUUUCCUUAUUUUCGUUGGAUGAUUUUUGGGAUUAAACCUGUAAUCGGUUAUUUACAAACCUAAAGUUAGUUUUAUGUU